GAUCUCAAUUAGGUCCCCUUUAACACAGGAGUUAAGACAUACACAUUAAGGAUGUCUUAUGUUGCAUAAUGAAAAGAAUAUUUCUAGGUUUUGCUACUAUAGGACAUUUACACUUUAGAUGUGGAAGAGAAGGGCAGGGUAAAAAAAACCUAACAGUGCAAAAAAUUUGAAACAGUUUCUUAAUAAAAAACAACAUGGAAGUCAAAGUCCUGUAUACGCUGAAGUAAUAAAUCUUCAGUUAUAGGCUACAAAGAGAGAUAACUAUGAGCAAAAGUUAAAAUAGCCAAUAAAUCAGUUCUGCUGGCUGGUGGCUGCCCUCCUUUUAAAACCCAAGUUGAAUGAGCAUAGAGAAAAACCUUGUCUUUCAAAACAAACAAAACACACACAAAAAAGGUUGGGGGUAGGGUUGUGAUGGAGGAAGGGAAAACAACAGAUAAUCCCUUCUCCUCCCCCUCUGCACAGUGGGCAAUUUCUAAUUCAGAAUCAAUGUGUCUACAAUUAACUUCAAUGUGUCUUUAGUUAACUAAGAUUCCAGAAACACCAAGAGAUUUCUAAAUACAAAUAUAAGAUACAUCAAAAGUCUUUUAUUUUAAAAUUGCUUCCCCAUAUUAUAAGAUAUUUAUAAUUUUGUACUCAAACUUUACCAAUCUGAGUAAAUAUAAGACAUGUCAAUUUUUUAAAAAAUGAUUUGUUUGAUAGAAAAGAAAUUUAAAUAAAUUCCAUGUAUUACUUUGUUCACUAUUAGCAAAGAUUUGUCUGCUCAGAGCAAAGGGUUCUUGGUAGAGACAUACUUAAAAAUCCCAUAUAACCACCACACCCCAUCAAUUAAAAAAAAAAAAAAAAAAAUCACCCAAUAAAGUAGUCUGGUGGUUUCAGGACAAUUUACAAAUCAUGAAACAGCUAGUAACAUCUCUCAGCUAAGAUGCUGAAAUAAUUUGCAAUAAAAGGAAACUGAAAAAUCAGAAGUGAUCUUAUAAUAUGCAGCACAAACUGGUAGAGAGGGUCAAUACUUCAGUUAGGUGUACUCACAUCAAUUUGCAUAAAGACAACAAUGUUAAAUUGCCUAAGAUUUGAUAUCAUACAGAUCAUUGGGAAUUUGUUUUAAAAUAAAACUUAUCCUAACUGAAAAAGCACAAGAUCAGAAACUGCUCAAAAUGCUGAGCUACCUUGGAAGGAACAGGGAAGGAAAAGGGAGGGGAAGAGAACCACAGUAUUUUAACAAGUAGGUUUUCCAACAGGAUAUUUACAAAAAUUUACCUGAGGUGCAAGCAUUAU
RNAcentral lists this long non-coding RNA (1275 nucleotides) under Sarcophilus harrisii (Tasmanian devil). Its description in RNAcentral is "lncRNA (ENSSHAG00000025187.1)". Lineage: Eukaryota; Metazoa; Chordata; Mammalia; Dasyuromorphia; Dasyuridae. The record is from RNAcentral.